Molecule: long non-coding RNA, 369 nt
Organism: Ruditapes philippinarum (Manila clam)
Lineage: Eukaryota; Metazoa; Mollusca; Bivalvia; Venerida; Veneridae
Exons: 2
Source: RefSeq, a predicted model, not a curated record
CCACGCAUGCGCGGUCAUCUAAAAAUAUAACGAAAUACGCAUAGGGCAUUGCGUCAAUAGGCGAAUAUAUCUAAAAGAAAUAACGCUGAGCCGAGCAUUCAUGAAGAAUUAUCAGUAAACUAAGUUAUAUGAAAAGAUAAAUUUAGAUAUGACUACGGCAGUACUUGUUCGUUCUGUUUGUACAAAUACAAACAGUGUGAUAAAUUUAAUCGGAAGUAACUUUCGGAUUGGCGUACUUUCGGUUCAGCCGCAGAAACUUGUACAGAAAAGAUGUGUAGCCACUAAAUCUGAUGUGGAUGCAACAAUAAAAGAAUACAAGGAAGGCAAUUUUGAAAAUUUGCCAGAUCCUGAUAAACUAACACACUUCAG